AUUGAACGCUGGCGGAAUGCUUUACCCAUGCAAGUCGAACGGUAGAGGGGGCAACCCCUCGAGAGUGGCGAACGGGUGAGUAAUAUAUCGGAACGUGCCCAGUCGUGGGGGAUAACGUAGCGAAAGUUACGCUAAUACCGCAUACGAUCUAAGGAUGAAAGCGGGGGAUCGCAAGACCUCGCGCGAUUGGAGCGGCCGAUAUCAGAUUAGGUAGUUGGUGGGGUAAAGGCUCACCAAGCCGACGAUCUGUAGCUGGUCUGAGAGGACGACCAGCCACACUGGAACUGAGACACGGUCCAGACUCCUACGGGAGGCAGCAGUGGGGAAUUUUGGACAAUGGACGCAAGUCUGAUCCAGCCAUUCCGCGUGCAGGAUGAAGGCCCUCGGGUUGUAAACUGCUUUUGUACGGAACGAAAAGGUCUCUCUAAUACAGGGGGUUUAUGACGGUACCGUAAGAAUAAGCACCGGCUAACUACGUGCCAGCCGCCGCAGUAA
Molecule: ribosomal RNA, 495 nt
Filed under: uncultured bacterium
Lineage: Bacteria
Description: partial 16S ribosomal RNA
Rfam family: Bacterial small subunit ribosomal RNA
Source: RNAcentral